This 503-nucleotide ribosomal RNA is filed under the name uncultured bacterium. Its description in RNAcentral is "bacterial SSU rRNA". It matches the Rfam family "Bacterial small subunit ribosomal RNA", at positions 8 to 507 of the family's 1533-position model. The record is from RNAcentral.
AGAGUUUGAUCAUGGCUCAGAUUGAACGCUGGCGGCAUGCCUUACACAUGCAAGUCGAACGGCAGCACGGGAGCAAUCCUGGUGGCGAGUGGCGAACGGGUGAGUAAUACAUCGGAACGUGCCCAGUCGUGGGGGAUAACGUAGCGAAAGCUACGCUAAUACCGCAUACGAUCUGUGGAUGAAAGCGGGGGACCGUAAGGCCUCGCGCGAUUGGAGCGGCCGAUGUCAGAUUAGGUAGUUGGUGGGGUAAAGGCCCACCAAGCCGACGAUCUGUAGCUGGUCUGAGAGGACGACCAGCCACACUGGGACUGAGACACGGCCCAGACUCCUACGGGAGGCAGCAGUGGGGAAUUUUGGACAAUGGGCGCAAGCCUGAUCCAGCAAUGCCGCGUGCAGGAUGAAGGCCUUCGGGUUGUAAACUGCUUUUGUACGGAACGAAACGGCUUUUCUAAUACAGAAGGCUAAUGACGGUACCGUAAGAAUAAGCACCGGCUAACUACGUG